UACGGAAGGCAGCAGUGGGGAAUAUUGCACAAUGGGCGCAAGCCUGAUGCAGCCAUGCCGCGUGUAUGAAGAAGGCCUUCGGGUUGUAAAGUACUUUCAGUCGUGAGGAAGGUGUUAAGGUUAAUAACCUUAGCAAUUGACGUUAGCGACAGAAGAAGCACCGGCUAACUCCGUGCCAGCAGCCGCGGUAAUACGGAGGGUGCGAGCGUUAAUCGGAUUUACUGGGCGUAAAGCGUGCGUAGGCGGCUUUUUUAAGUCGGAUGUGAAAUCCCCGAGCUUAACUUGGGAAUUGCAUUCGAUACUGGGAAGCUAGAGUAUGGGAGAGGAUGGUAGAAUUCCAGGUGUAGCGGUGAAAUGCGUAGAGAUCUGGAGGAAUACCGAUGGCGAAGGCAGCCAUCUGGCCUAUACUGACGCUGAGGUCGAAAGCAUGGGGAGCAAACAGGAUUAAGAUACC
RNAcentral lists this ribosomal RNA (454 nucleotides) under uncultured bacterium. Its description in RNAcentral is "bacterial SSU rRNA". It matches the Rfam family "Bacterial small subunit ribosomal RNA", at positions 340 to 786 of the family's 1533-position model. The record is from RNAcentral.